Long non-coding RNA from Archocentrus centrarchus (flier cichlid), 289 nucleotides. RefSeq lists it as uncharacterized. NCBI's taxonomy places the organism in Eukaryota, Metazoa, Chordata, Actinopteri, Cichliformes, Cichlidae. The transcript is spliced from 3 exons. The record is from RefSeq and is a predicted model, not a curated record.
GCGCCCUCCCAACCUCCGCCACCACGAACCCACCAAAGGAAAUGUUUCAAAGUUGGAAAUCAUCAUUCCCUCCACUAAUUAGUGGGGAAUAUCAGCAAAGGACUGACUGUCGAUCAGUGCAGAUCACUCUGGAUGUUGCUGGGCAUGGAGCAUUCUUUCCUCCUCAGCCUGCUCAUAAUAUUUGGCCUGUUGGUCCUUUGACAGCGACUUCCACUGUGGACAGAGGAACACACUGUCAGCAUCCACACUGCAGAACAUAACUACAGGACAGCUGGUACACAUGCACAAA